This 63-nucleotide small RNA is filed under the name Arabidopsis thaliana (thale cress). Its description in RNAcentral is "ATSL148770". Lineage: Eukaryota; Viridiplantae; Streptophyta; Magnoliopsida; Brassicales; Brassicaceae. The record is from RNAcentral.
CUCAAUUUCAGAUAUCUUCUUCUCGAUUUGAUGUUUUUUUUUUCCUUCUUCUUCUUCCUCCAG